Molecule: transfer RNA, 69 nt
Filed under: Hystrichopsylla weida qinlingensis
Lineage: Eukaryota; Metazoa; Arthropoda; Insecta; Siphonaptera; Hystrichopsyllidae
Description: tRNA-Gln
Source: RNAcentral
UAUAUAUUAGUGUAUGAUGCACAAAAAUUUUUGAUAUUUUUAGAAAUAGUUUAAAUCUAUUGUAUAUAA